Long non-coding RNA from Tympanuchus pallidicinctus (lesser prairie-chicken), 230 nucleotides. RefSeq lists it as uncharacterized. The record is from RefSeq and is a predicted model, not a curated record. NCBI's taxonomy places the organism in Eukaryota, Metazoa, Chordata, Aves, Galliformes, Phasianidae. The transcript is spliced from 3 exons.
GAUCGGCUGCCAGCCGCGUUCCGGGCAAGGGAACAGAGUGCAGUGAACAACAACUUCCCAUUUUCCUCUCAUGACAACAGACACUGUCUACAGAAUGUAGGAGAGUACUUUGAUUUGGGUUUGGGCCGAAGGAAGGUGGAACCACACAGAAGGCAGCAGAACUCACAGAACUUCUUCCAGUGGGCUUCAGAACCGGUUAGAAGGAGCGAAGAUGGCUUAACCACUUAUCA